UCGGGUGUAGUGCACGGAGCACACUCCUCUACCUUGAGCUGCCAGAAAUUGCAAGUGCAGGAGAGACCGGGUUCGACUCCCGGCGCCCGAA
Non-coding RNA from Mycena galericulata, 91 nucleotides. The record is from the annotation of a GenBank genome assembly. NCBI's taxonomy places the organism in Eukaryota, Fungi, Basidiomycota, Agaricomycetes, Agaricales, Mycenaceae.